UACGGAAGGCAGCAGUGGGGAAUAUUGCACAAUGGGCGCAAGCCUGAUGCAGCCAUGCCGCGUGUAUGAAGAAGGCCUUCGGGUUGUAAAGUACUUUCAGUCGUGAGGAAGGUGUUAAGGUUAAUAACCUUAGCAAUUGACGUUAGCGACAGAAGAAGCACCGGCUAACUCCGUGCCAGCAGCCGCGGUAAUACGGAGGGUGCGAGCGUUAAUCGGAAUUACUGGGCGUAAAGGGCACGCAGGCGGUUAAUUAAGUUGGAUGUGAAAUCCCCGGGCUUAACCUGGGAAUGGCAUUCAAGACUGGUUAGCUAGAGUCUUGUAGAGGGGGUAGAAUUCCAUGUGUAGCGGUGAAAUGCGUAGAGAUGUGGAGGAAUACCGGUGGCGAAGGCGGCCCCCUGGACAAAGACUGACGCUCAUGUGCGAAAGCGUGGGGAGCAAACAGGGAUUAGAUACC
RNAcentral lists this ribosomal RNA (454 nucleotides) under uncultured bacterium. Its description in RNAcentral is "bacterial SSU rRNA". It matches the Rfam family "Bacterial small subunit ribosomal RNA", at positions 340 to 786 of the family's 1533-position model. The record is from RNAcentral.